RNAcentral lists this ribosomal RNA (492 nucleotides) under uncultured bacterium. RNAcentral's name for it is "partial 16S ribosomal RNA". It matches the Rfam family "Bacterial small subunit ribosomal RNA", at positions 29 to 507 of the family's 1533-position model. The record is from RNAcentral.
AGUGAACGCUGGCGGUAGGCCUAACACAUGCAAGUCGAACGGCAGCACAGUAAGAGCUUGCUCUUACGGGUGGCGAGUGGCGGACGGGUGAGGAAUACAUCGGAAUCUACUUUUUCGUGGGGGAUAACGUAGGGAAACUUACGCUAAUACCGCAUACGACCUACGGGUGAAAGCAGGGGAUCUUCGGACCUUGCGCGAUUGAAUGAGCCGAUGUCGGAUUAGCUAGUUGGCGGGGUAAAGGCCCACCAAGGUGACGAUCCGUAGCUGGUCUGAGAGGAUGAUCAGCCACACUGGAACUGAGACACGGUCCAGACUCCUACGGGAGGCAGCAGUGGGGAAUAUUGGACAAUGGGCGCAAGCCUGAUCCAGCCAUACCGCGUGGGUGAAGAGGGCCUUCGGGUUGUAAAGCCCUUUUGUUGGGAAAGAAAAGCAGCAGGUUAAUACCCCGCUGUUCUGACGGUACCCAAAGAAUAAGCACCGGCUAACUUCGUG